CGUGCCAGCGUAUUUCCUUAAUGCAUGAAAAAGAAACUGAAAAUGGAAAAAGAAAAGCAACCCGUCCCGCGCGCAUGGCGCGCAGAGGGUGAGGAAACAAAAAGAAAAUGAAAAAGGAAAAGGCGCUCGGACUUCUCGAAGCACACCAUGGCACACCUUCGACGCCCUGAGUGCCUGCGCAUGCGUAAUUGCAGCAACGGUGGUGUGCCAUCUCAGCGUCAAAUUGAAUUCUCAGCGAGUGCGCUAGACACGUAGACGCUUGUUGCAGCAGUGUGCGUGGUGGGCAGUGCCUGCCUGUACCUUGGUGUCUGUUUAGGCGUGUCUUCUUUGUGGCAUCACACGCCAACUACAGUGAAUGCCUUGAUCUAAACUGCAACUAUCAUGUGCUGCACAUGUGGUCUCGACAUCAAGUUCCUUGUGGAUUCUUGUCACAGAGGUGUACGACGUGAAGCAGGGAACUGAACUUCGAAGGACAAACACGAGGAGAGUGUGUUGGGAGGAUAGUUGUUUCUUCCGUACAACGCAAGCAGGGUACUUAUGAAGAAAGAAAAUUAAAAGAGGAAGAAAUUUGUCAAGCGGAAGGAAACUAGGCACCGGUCGCAGCAAGUAAGACGAUGCGGAGUCGCGUUCCACGGUGCAGAUCUCCAUAACAAAGAGCUCUCUUCGUUCGUGCUUCCUGGCCCCAAGGAAUCUCUGGCGGCGGUCCUGGCCCCUGUGAGCGGGUGGAGCUUCGUCCUGCUGGGGAUGCCCUUGCUUUGAACGUCUUGGCUUUAAUGGAUGACUUCAACAACCUUCCGCCCCACGAUGGAUGAUAGGAGUUUCUGGGCCAACUAGAGACCUUUCAAAGAUGACUUCAACAACCUUCCGCCCCACGAUGGAUGAUAGGAGUUUCUGGGCCAACUAGAGACCUUUCAAAGAACGAUGAAGGGGAUAUUCGCAAGGGAAACUACGCUACGUGGAGAGGCGUUGGUUCUACCUGCUGGCACUUCCUCACUAAGGCCUCGAGCUUCCCAAAGGGCGUAAACGUGAAGGGCGUGUUAUGAAAAGCGUACAUUACAGGAUAAUAAACGCCAGCUUCCUAAAUUUUCAAUCAUGCUGCUGAUUGGAUGCCGCUGCACGAGCGAGGAGGAGACCAGCGGCCCCAGCCAAUCAGCAGCAGCCGAAAUGGACAGUCCACUAGGCGGACUCUUGCAGAAUACCACCCCAGGGCUCCUGCUGCCAGUGCUCGAGACGCUGGCUGACCCGAGGGCCGCCGGUCCUUGAGCUGUUGCACCCGAGCUGUGCCGAGCAACUUUCGAGUCUGGCACAGAUGUCCUGCGCUCGACGGGGUCCUCACGUGCGACCACCACGCGUGGAUUGCGAGCGGCGUACGAGCUGGGCACCGAGGCUCUGCUGGACGUGCGACUGCGGCACGUCGGUCGCGAGCGGCGUCCGAGCUAGGCACCGAGGCCGCGCGGAACAAGGCAUCCCUUGGCUGCGGCCACUGCGGCUCCUGAGCGUGCCAAGCCCGAGAACCAUGCUGAACGGGGCCUGAACAUGUCGUCGUCGCAGCCAGCUCGAGGACGGGUGAACGCACAGUGCCAUGACGACCAAACCGUGCGCCGCACAACACGGGACAGUUUCAGCCGUUUAUUCCCGUGUGCUGUAUGUGUGUAGACACUGUGUGU
Molecule: long non-coding RNA, 1667 nt
Organism: Dermacentor albipictus
Lineage: Eukaryota; Metazoa; Arthropoda; Arachnida; Ixodida; Ixodidae
Source: RefSeq, a predicted model, not a curated record